GGCCCACUGAAGCUUAUAAAAUAUCUUCAGAGGAAAAAGCUACUUAAAAGAAAAAUAAAAUGCAAAGUCUGCCAGCAGAAAAUGGAACUGAAGAAAAGGGUGAACAACGGAGACCAAUAUGCUUGGAUCUGUCGUGGAGCAGCACAUGGUGGACACGUCAAACAAACCUCCGUCAGACACAAGUCACUUUUCAGCCGUUCUAAAGUCUCACUUCAACGCUGGAUGCAAUUUAUCUACAGAUUUUCUCAGGGUCAGCGAUUACGUCAAAUCGACAUGAUAGAUGACACCAUUGCAGGCAGCACAACAACACUUAGUAAAAUGUCCAAAAAAUAAGGA
Oreochromis aureus is the source of this 336-nucleotide long non-coding RNA. RefSeq lists it as uncharacterized. The transcript is spliced from 3 exons. The record is from RefSeq and is a predicted model, not a curated record. Lineage: Eukaryota; Metazoa; Chordata; Actinopteri; Cichliformes; Cichlidae.